Molecule: long non-coding RNA, 177 nt
Filed under: Manacus vitellinus (golden-collared manakin)
Lineage: Eukaryota; Metazoa; Chordata; Aves; Passeriformes; Pipridae
Description: lncRNA (ENSMVIG00005012048.1)
Source: RNAcentral
GGUGGAUCCUGGAAGAGUCUUGACAGCUGCAAGGAGAUAAUUAGGAAAAUCUCACAUCUGCUAAACUCUCCCAGCUAACCCCUUCCUCAUCACCUGAUACAACGAAUGCAGCUAGAACAAUACAAACAAACAAAAAUACACCCUAAAGAUAUGAAGCCUGUUAAAACGAGCCGAUGA